AAUAGAUACCCAGGUAGUCCACGCCGUAAACGAUGAGUGCUAAGUGUUAGAGGGUUUCCGCCCUUUAGUGCUGCAGCUAACGCAUUAAGCACUCCGCCUGGGGAGUACGGUCGCAAGACUGAAACUCAAAGGAAUUGACGGGGGCCCGCACAAGCGGUGGAGCAUGUGGUUUAAUUCGAAGCAACGCGAAGAACCUUACCAGGUCUUGACCUCCUCUGACAACUCUAGAGAUAGAGCGUUCCCCUUCGGGGGACAGAGUGACAGGUGGUGCAUGGUUGUCGUCAGCUCGUGUCGUGAGAUGUUGGGUUAAGUCCCGCAACGAGCGCAACCCUUGAUCUUAGUUGCCAGCAUUUAGUUGGGCACUCUAAGGUGACUGCCGGUGACAAACCGGAGGAAGGUGGGGAUGACGUCAAAUCAUCAUGCCCCUUAUGACCUGGGCUACACACGUGCUACAAUGGAUGGUACAAAGGGCUGCAAGACCGCGAGGUCAAGCCAACCCCAUAAAAACCCAUUCUCAGUUCGGA
Molecule: ribosomal RNA, 524 nt
Filed under: uncultured bacterium
Lineage: Bacteria
Description: bacterial SSU rRNA
Rfam family: Bacterial small subunit ribosomal RNA
Source: RNAcentral